Molecule: ribosomal RNA, 350 nt
Filed under: Escherichia coli
Lineage: Bacteria; Pseudomonadati; Pseudomonadota; Gammaproteobacteria; Enterobacterales; Enterobacteriaceae
Description: bacterial SSU rRNA
Rfam family: Bacterial small subunit ribosomal RNA
Source: RNAcentral
AAAUUGAAGAGUUUGAUCAUGGCUCAGAUUGAACGCUGGCGGCAGGCCUAACACAUGCAAGUCGAACGGUAACAGGAAGCAGCUUGCUGCUUCGCUGACGAGUGGCGGACGGGUGAGUAAUGUCUGGGAAACUGCCUGAUGGAGGGGGAUAACUACUGGAAACGGUAGCUAAUACCGCAUAAUGUCGCAAGACCAAAGAGGGGGACCUUCGGGCCUCUUGCCAUCGGAUGUGCCCAGAUGGGAUUAGCUUGUUGGUGGGGUAACGGCUCACCAAGGCGACGAUCCCUAGCUGGUCUGAGAGGAUGACCAGCCACACUGGAACUGAGACACGGUCCAGACUCCUACGGGAG